Molecule: ribosomal RNA, 253 nt
Filed under: uncultured bacterium
Lineage: Bacteria
Description: partial 16S ribosomal RNA
Rfam family: Bacterial small subunit ribosomal RNA
Source: RNAcentral
UACGUAGGGUGCAAGCGUUGUCCGGAUUUAUUGGGCGUAAAGAGCUCGUAGGCGGUUAGUCACGUCGGAUGUGAAAUCCCAGAGCUUAACUCUGGGCCUGCAUUCGAUACGGGCUGACUAGAGUGUUGUAGGGGAGACUGGAACUCCUGGUGUAGCGGUGAAAUGCGCAGAUAUCAGGAGGAACACCGGUGGCGAAGGCGGGUCUCUGGGCCGAUACUGACGCUGAGGAGCGAAAGCGUGGGGAGCGAACAGG